This 2517-nucleotide long non-coding RNA is filed under the name Zea mays. RNAcentral's name for it is "long non-coding RNA (ZMAY_LNC003877)". The record is from RNAcentral. Lineage: Eukaryota; Viridiplantae; Streptophyta; Magnoliopsida; Poales; Poaceae.
UAGACCUCAAAAAGCUUGAUCUCUUGGUCGCCAACGCUCGAUCUUUGAUCCCUUGAAGCUUGGAAACAGAUCGCAAUCUAUUCGCGACGCAAAGCGAAGACAAACAGGCACAAGCAAACAAACAUAUAUAUGCAUAAGAACAUUACACCAUGCCAAAAAGAACAUAAUAAAGCAUGCAAAACGAAAUAGAGCGCGUUACUACGGUCACGCGAGGAAAAAGAAAUGCGAUAGUCGGAGCUACGGUUGGGAAGUUGGCGCGUUAACGUUGAACAAGUAUUAGCUAUAACUUCUAGUUCAACUUUAUCAAAUAUAAAUAUUAUACAUCAGCCAGUUCAAUUAAUCUGCUACACUAACGGCUAUCAGUUAAAUAAAUAAUUUAAUUAAAAAGAGAGAUUCUAAGCGAGAUGAAUUUAUGACACGUGAAACUGCACGACAGCGUGCAAACGACGCGUGGACACGCGCGACAUAGCACGCUGACGAUACACGAAACAGCGCGCACGACGAGCGCGAACGUCGCGCCAACCAGCACGCCACCAAGUGCGGAACAACACGCGUGCCAGACGAGGAAAACUAAAUAGGUGAUGCGUUUAUACCAAACCAAUAUUAAAUAAUUAAAAGCAGUUAAGUUAAUAUUGGUCAUGUUAAUAUUUAUUAUAAAAGCGCAGUUGAACAGUAUAUAUUUAAUCUAAUUGAAAUAUUAGUCUAAUAAAUAUUAGUCGAGCGAACCUUAAGUUAAUUAUCUAACAUAUAUGACCUGAUGGAUUAACGGUACUAACAUGAGUGCUUAUAAGCUAAAACAAUUUAUUAUCACGCGCAGACGCCGCGCGACACACGUGAUCGACAAGCGAGAUACGCGUGAACAAUGCGCGGCAAGGCGAGCGACAUGUGUAAAUGGCACACACGACGCACGCAAACGACGUGUGACAACGUGUGCGAACAGCACGCAUGACACGCGUGAACGACGCGCGACAACACGCGAAUAACGCACGAACUAGACGCACGAACAACACGACGACGACGAGCGCCACAUAUGCGAACAGCACGAGAGGCGAGUGCGAAAAGCACGAGCAGCACGUGCGACAACUCGCAAGCAAUGUGCGGCUACAUCGCAAGCUGUGAACUCGCAAACGCUACAGCGAGGCGACGACGUGCGUGAACAGCGCGACGAGCGGGGAACCAUUAACAGAUGUCGUGUUUACAAUGAACAAAUGUUAAAUAAACAACUAAAUAAAUAUUUAGGUUGGCAUGACUCAUGUUAACGUUUAUUUAUACUUGCGCAAAUUAAAAUUAUACAUUAGUUUUGAUUAGGUCACUACUUUAAUAACCAUCGGAUAAACAAAUGAUCAAUUAAUUAGUUAAAAAGAUGUGGCACGAUAUAAUAAUAUUAUUAACUCGUCGGUGACGAUAUUACGAAGCUCAUGCAAAUUGAACGAAGAGAAUUGGAUUUAUAACGCAACAUAUAUCAAAUAUUUAACACUUCGGGGAUUUUAAGCGAUGCGACUAAUUAUUAUUGCUAGCGGUUGGCCACACCUAUGGUCUCACCAGACGUAGCCAUAGAAGAUCCCAAGCUUAGGAUCACAUGUGGCUAGCUUCUUCCCAUUCUUUUUACAACCGCACGGACACGGCAAGGGGAUUUCUUCUUCGUUGAACAGCAGCAUAGAAGAGAGAGAGAGAGGACCGUCCAUGGGACUCGGCAGGAGCUGCAGGAGCUAGACGAGGGCAGGUUCGGCUGAGGCAGCCAGCUGCGCUACCAGCAGGGGACACACACGCCCGGGCGUCAUCGCGCCUGCCCAUGGCUGGACGCACGAGCACUGCACAGGGGUGGGAUGGAUCCUGUCGCGCUGGGGAAGUGGAGGCCAGGGGGCGAGGCGAUGCCGGUGGGAGGGGACACUAUCACGAGCGUGCGUGGCGACUUGCGGAGCAGCAACGGUGAGGCUCGGCAAGCGCUGUGUUGAUGCACGACGGCUGACGGCCAUGGCCGGCGCGGCUACAUCUCUACAACACGGUGGCAUAGCGGGCAAGGCAGGGUAGCAGACAGCAGCGCGGCGUUGGGGUGAGUGAUAGCAGAUCGACAUCAAGACGAGGUCCGAGAAAAGAAAUCAAACGACGCAUGAUAUUUUCUCACCUCGAAACGGAUCUCGACGGAGAAUGUCGCGGCAACGGCUUAACGGAGCUUCGGCACGGCGGGGAGUGAACACGGCAGUUUCCCAAGAGCCGCAAGUCUUGGGACGGAGGUUCGUGGCCGACGUCAGUUCUCCUGUGUGCUUGGUGCAGGGACAACGGCGAUCUGCUCGGGGAGACUCGACAUGCGGCAAGCGCGGCGGAUAUUGGUGAGAGAGGAGGCGACGUGGGCGUGAGCUGGCCGAGCGGGGCAGCGGCAGAAGCGGUUGGGCGGUUUUUGUGCGCGCGCGUUGGGGGCGAGGUGCAGGCGGUUGCUGACCGACCGACGUGGCUGCGUACGCCGUGCGCGCUGGGGGCGAGCGCGGAGGGGUCGGCUGCGUGCGUGCUAGAUGCUGG